CGGUAAUACGUAGGGUCCAAGCGUUAAUCGGAAUUACUGGGCGUAAAGCGUGCGCAGGCGGUUGUGCAAGACCGAUGUGAAAUCCCCGAGCUUAACUUGGGAAUUGCAUUGGUGACUGCACGGCUAGAGUGUGUCAGAGGGGGGUAGAAUUCCACGUGUAGCAGUGAAAUGCGUAGAGAUGUGGAGGAAUACCGAUGGCGAAGGCAACCCCCUGGGAUAACACUGACGCUCAUGCACGAAAGCGUGGGGAGCANACAGGAUUAGAUACCCUGGUAGUCCACGCCCUAAACGAUGUCAACUAGUUGUUGGGGAUUCAUUUCCUUAGUAACGUAGCUAACGCGUGAAGUUGACCGCCUGGGGAGUACGGUCGCAAGAUUAAAACUCAAAGGAAUUGACGGGGACCCGCACAAGCGGUGGAUGAUGUGGAUUAAUUCGAUGCAACGCGAAAAACCUUACCUACCCUUGACAUGCCACUAACGAAGCAGAGAUGCAUUAGGUGCUCGAAAGAGAAAGUGGACACAGNUGCUGCAUGNCUNUCGUCAGCUCGUGUCGUGAGAUNUUGGGUUAAGUCCCGCAACGAGCGCAACCCUUGUCUCUAGUUGCUACGAAAGGGCACUCUAGAGAGACUNCCGGUGACAAACCGGAGGAAGGUGGGGAUGACGUCAAGUCCUCAUGGCCCUUAUGGGUAGGGCUUCACACGUCAUACAAUGGUGCAUACAGAGGGUUGCCAAGCCGCGAGGUGGAGCUAAUCCCAGAAAAUGCAUCGUAGUCCGGAUCGUAGUCUGCAACUCGACUACGUGAANCUGGAAUCGCUAGUAAUCGCGGAUCAGCAUNCCGCGGUGAAUACGUUCCCGG
This 855-nucleotide ribosomal RNA is filed under the name uncultured beta proteobacterium. RNAcentral describes it as "bacterial SSU rRNA". It matches the Rfam family "Bacterial small subunit ribosomal RNA", at positions 518 to 1377 of the family's 1533-position model. Lineage: Bacteria; Pseudomonadati; Pseudomonadota; Betaproteobacteria. The record is from RNAcentral.